Molecule: transfer RNA, 72 nt
Filed under: Camelus bactrianus (Bactrian camel)
Lineage: Eukaryota; Metazoa; Chordata; Mammalia; Artiodactyla; Camelidae
Also listed under: 2 other names
Rfam family: tRNA
About the family: Transfer RNA (tRNA) molecules are approximately 80 nucleotides in length.
Source: Rfam by way of RNAcentral
GAGGGUAGAGCUCAGUGGUAGAGCGCAUGCUUAGCAUGCACAAGGUCCUAGGUUCAGUCCCCAGUACCUCCA